This 511-nucleotide unclassified non-coding RNA is filed under the name Drosophila pseudoobscura pseudoobscura. RNAcentral describes it as "GA31237". Lineage: Eukaryota; Metazoa; Arthropoda; Insecta; Diptera; Drosophilidae. The record is from RNAcentral.
CCGGAAUAAACUAAAUUACACUAAAAAUGAUUCUCAAAAUAAGAUACAGGAUCCGCUGAUCCUUGUUUCUGUACAGGCCUGUUCCACAGAUGGAUGAAAGGAGAUGAAGAUACCUCCAGGCACCCACACCCACACCACCACACCACCACACCGCAAGCACACAUUCGCAAUCGAACUCGAACUCGAACUCGUCAACGCUUUUGCACAACUAUACUAUUGCAGGAUGGAACCGGCCGAAAGCACAGUGGAUGGCAUCCUGGACAAGAGCUUCAUUGGGCAGAUAAACCAAGAAGCAAACUAUAUGCAGCCUCUACCUUGAUUGAAGGCUCUGCUGUCGAUGGCAUCGGCACUCGACACUGUGGGCUCUGGUCUCGGCUCUGAAUAUCGUGGAUCACAUUAAGAAACAGAACAACAAAUCACGGAUUAUUGCCAGCACAGAACACCAAUCGACACAUUUUAUCGACUUUGUUUAUAGCAAAUGGGGGAUCAUUAAAAAUUUGAUUUAAUUAAC